CAUGUCUUUUUGAGUAUAAUUUAAAGUCUAGCCUGCCCAAUGAAUUAUUGGAUUGAAUGGCCGCGAUAUUUUGAUCGUGCUAAGGUAGCAUAAUAAUUAGUUUUUUAAUUGAGAACUGGAAUGAAUGGCUGGACGAGAAAAAAACUGUCUCAAUUUAAUUUUAAUUAGAAUUUUAUAUUUAAGUUAAAAAGCUUAAAUAUAUUUAAAAGACGAGAAGACCCUAUAGAGUUUUAUAUAAAUUAAAUUUUUAUUUUAAAGACUUUAAAUUUUAUAAGUUUAAUUUAUAUUUAGUUGGGGUGACUUAAAAAUUAAAAUAACUUUUUAUUUAUUAAAACAUUAAUAUAUGAUUAAAUGAUCCAUUUUUAAUGAUUAAAAGAUUAAAUUACCUUAGGGAUAACAGCGUAAUUUUUUUUGAGAGUUCUUAUCGAAAGAAAAGUUUGCGACC
This 445-nucleotide ribosomal RNA is filed under the name Cheironitis hoplosternus. RNAcentral's name for it is "partial 16S ribosomal RNA". Lineage: Eukaryota; Metazoa; Arthropoda; Insecta; Coleoptera; Scarabaeidae. The record is from RNAcentral.